GACCCCGUAGCUCAGUUGGUAGAGCACCUGACUUUUAAUCAGGGGGCCGCAGGUUCGAAUCCUGCCGGGGUCA
This 73-nucleotide transfer RNA is filed under the name Rhodothermus profundi. RNAcentral describes it as "tRNA_Lys_TTT". It matches the Rfam family "tRNA". From Rfam's summary of the family: Transfer RNA (tRNA) molecules are approximately 80 nucleotides in length. The record is from RNAcentral. Lineage: Bacteria; Pseudomonadati; Rhodothermota; Rhodothermia; Rhodothermales; Rhodothermaceae.